AGCAGCCGCGGUAAUUCCAGCUCCAAUAGCGUAUAUUAAAGUUGUUGCAGUUAAAAAGCUCGUAGUUGAAUUUCGGGAUUGACGUGAUGGUCGUGCCUUAAGGGGUAUGAACUGUCGCAGUUGAUUUCUCACCUUCUGGAGAAGCAUGAUGUUCUUAAUUGGGUGUCAUGUGGAACCAGGGACCUUUACCUUGAAAAAAUUAGGGUGUUUAAAGCAGGCAUUUUGCUCGAAUACAUUAGCAUGGAAUAAUAGAAUAGGACGGCAUGGUUCUAUUUGUUGGUCUCUAGGAUCACCGUAAUGAUUAA
This 305-nucleotide ribosomal RNA is filed under the name uncultured Entrophospora. Its description in RNAcentral is "SSU rRNA". It matches the Rfam family "Eukaryotic small subunit ribosomal RNA", at positions 569 to 872 of the family's 1831-position model. Lineage: Eukaryota; Fungi; Glomeromycota; Glomeromycetes; Entrophosporales; Entrophosporaceae. The record is from RNAcentral.